This 567-nucleotide ribosomal RNA is filed under the name uncultured bacterium. RNAcentral describes it as "partial 16S ribosomal RNA". It matches the Rfam family "Bacterial small subunit ribosomal RNA", at positions 355 to 914 of the family's 1533-position model. The record is from RNAcentral.
UGGGGAAUUUUGGACAAUGGGGGCAACCCUGAUCCAGCAAUGCCGCGUGUGUGAAGAAGGCCUUCGGGUUGUAAAGCACUUUUGUCCGGAAAGAAAACGUCGUGGUUAAUACCCGUGGCGGCUGACGGUACCGGAAGAAUAAGCACCGGCUAACUACGUGCCAGCAGCCGCGGUAAUACGUAGGGUGCAAGCGUUAAUCGGAAUUACUGGGCGUAAAGCGUGCGCAGGCGGUCCGCUAAGACAGAUGUGAAAUCCCCGGGCUUAACCUGGGAACUGCAUUUGUGACUGGCGGGCUAGAGUAUGGCAGAGGGGGGUAGAAUUCCACGUGUAGCAGUGAAAUGCGUAGAGAUGUGGAGGAAUACCGAUGGCGAAGGCAGCCCCCUGGGCCAAUACUGACGCUCAUGCACGAAAGCGUGGGGGAGCAAACAGGAUUAGAUACCCUGGUAGUCCACGCCCUAAACGAUGUCAACUAGUUGUCGGGUCUUCAUUGACUUGGUAACGUAGCUAACGCGUGAAGUUGACCGCCUGGGGAGUACGGUCGCAAGAUUAAAACUUAAAUGAAUUGAC